Molecule: transfer RNA, 76 nt
Filed under: Candidatus Omnitrophota bacterium
Lineage: Bacteria; Pseudomonadati; Candidatus Omnitrophota
Also listed under: 1 other name
Description: Candidatus Omnitrophica bacterium tRNA-Gly
Rfam family: tRNA
About the family: Transfer RNA (tRNA) molecules are approximately 80 nucleotides in length. Their secondary structure includes four short double-helical elements and three loops (D, anti-codon, and T loops). Further hydrogen bonds mediate the characteristic L-shaped molecular structure. tRNAs have two regions of fundamental functional importance: the anti-codon, which is responsible for specific mRNA codon recognition, and the 3' end, to which the tRNAs corresponding amino acid is attached (by aminoacyl-tRNA synthetases). tRNAs cope with the degeneracy of the genetic code in two manners: having more than one tRNA (with a specific anti-codon) for a particular amino acid; and 'wobble' base-pairing, i.e. permitting non-standard base-pairing at the 3rd anti-codon position.
Source: RNAcentral
GCGGCGGUAAUUCAGCUGGUAGAAUGUCUCCUUGCCAAGGAGAAUGUCGUGGGUUCGAAUCCCAUCCGCCGCUCCA